RNAcentral lists this long non-coding RNA (370 nucleotides) under Capsella rubella. RNAcentral's name for it is "long non-coding RNA (CRUB_LNC004367)". Lineage: Eukaryota; Viridiplantae; Streptophyta; Magnoliopsida; Brassicales; Brassicaceae. The record is from RNAcentral.
AAGGGUUCUGUAAUGGUCCUUUGCACUGUACUAUCACGUGACCUCCAUAAAAAGUGUACUAUUCAUUCCAAAAUCCAAAUCUAUUAAUAUUUUUUAUUAUAACAUGCAUCAUGUUAGCAAAUGUUUUUUUUUUUUUUUUUGGUUGUCACGUUACGAAAUUGAAUGUUCUUUUGGGUGUGUGAUAAGACGUUUUUUUUUUUUUAAUUAAAGAUGUGUUAGGUCAGUGCAUGCAUUCAUGAUCAACAACUCUCUAUUUGUAGUAAUUUAGUCUUAAUUAAGCAAAAGCUAAUUGAUUUUUAAAAUUGCCAGAUAAUUUCUUUAAUUAGCUUAGUAGUAAUCACUCAUCUCUGGAACACACUGCACAUUCUGC